UACGGGGGGGGCAAGCGUUGUUCGGAAUUACUGGGCGUAAAGGGCUCGUAGGCGGCCAACUAAGUCAGACGUGAAAUCCCUCGGCUUAACCGGGGAACUGCGUCUGAUACUGGAUGGCUUGAGAUUGGGAGAGGGAUGCGGAAUUCCAGGUGUAGCGGUGAAAUGCGCAGAUAUCAGGAGGAACACCAAUGGCGAAGGCAGCUCGCUGGAACGGUACUGACGCUGAGGCGCGAAAGCGUGGGGAGCGAACAGG
RNAcentral lists this ribosomal RNA (253 nucleotides) under uncultured bacterium. Its description in RNAcentral is "partial 16S ribosomal RNA". It matches the Rfam family "Bacterial small subunit ribosomal RNA", at positions 524 to 776 of the family's 1533-position model. The record is from RNAcentral.